GCCAGGCACGGUGGUGCAUGCCUGUAAUCCCAGUGGCUCAGAGGCUGAGGCAGGAGGAUCACGAGUUCAAAGCCAGCCUCAGUAAAAACAAGGAACUAAGAAACUCAGUGAGACCCUGUCUCUA
This 124-nucleotide small RNA is filed under the name Marmota monax (woodchuck). Lineage: Eukaryota; Metazoa; Chordata; Mammalia; Rodentia; Sciuridae. The record is from RNAcentral.